AACGCUAGCUACAGGCUUAACACAUGCAAGUCGAGGGGUAACAUGAUCAAAGCUUGCUUUGAUUGAUGACGACCGGCGGAUGGGUGAGUAACGCGUAUCCAACCUUCCCAUGUCCACGGGAUAGCCCGUCGAAAGGCGGAUUAAUACCGUAUGAGGUCACAUGCGGGCAUCUAAGUGUGACGAAAGGUUUUGCGGACAUGGAUGGGGAUGCGUCCGAUUAGCUUGUUGGCGGGGUAACGGCCCACCAAGGCGACGAUCGGUAGGGGUUCUGAGAGGAAGGUCCCCCACAUUGGAACUGAGACACGGUCCAAACUCCUACGGGAGGCAGCAGUGAGGAAUAUUGGUCAAUGGACGCAAGUCUGAACCAGCCAAGUAGCGUGCAGGAUGACGGCCCUAUGGGUUGUAAACUGCUUUUAUGCGGGGAUAAAGUGUGGGACGUGUCCCAUAUUGCAGAUACCGCAUGAAUAAGGACCGGCUAAUUCCGUGCCAGCAGCCGCGGUAAUACGGAAGGUCCGGGCGUUAUCCGGAUUUAUUGGGUUUAAAGGGAGCGUAGGCCGUCGUUUAAGCGUGUUGUGAAAUGCCGCGGCUCAACCGUGGCACUGCAGCGCGAACUGGAUGACUUGAGUUCGCGGGAGGUAGGCGGAAUUCGUGGUGUAGCGGUGAAAUGCUUAGAUAUCACGAAGAACUCCGAUUG
RNAcentral lists this ribosomal RNA (694 nucleotides) under uncultured bacterium. RNAcentral's name for it is "bacterial SSU rRNA". It matches the Rfam family "Bacterial small subunit ribosomal RNA", at positions 32 to 715 of the family's 1533-position model. The record is from RNAcentral.